GAUGAACGCUGGCGGCGUGCCCAAUACAUGCAAGUCGAGCGAACGGACGAGAAGCUUGCUUCUCUGAUGUUAGCGGCGGACGGGUGAGUAACACGUGGAUAACCUACCUAUAAGACUGGGAUAACUUCGGGAAACCGUAGCUAAUACCGGAUAAUAUUUUGAACCGCAUGGUUCAAAAGUGAAAGACGGUCUUGCUGUCACUUAUAGAUGGAUCCGCGCUGCAUUAGCUAGUUGGUAAGGCAACGGCUUACCAAGGCAACGAUGCAUAGCCGACCUGAGAGGGUGAUCGGCCACACUGGAACUGAGACACGGUCCAGACUCCUACGGGAGGCAGCAGUAGGGAAUCUUCCGCAAUGGGCGAAAGCCUGACGGAGCAACGCCGCGUGAGUGAUGAAGGUCUUCGGAUCGUAAAACUCUGUUAUUAGGGAAGAACAUAUGUGUAAGUAACUGUGCACAUCUUGACGGUACCUAAUCAGAAAGCCACGGCUAACUACGUG
Molecule: ribosomal RNA, 497 nt
Filed under: uncultured bacterium
Lineage: Bacteria
Description: partial 16S ribosomal RNA
Rfam family: Bacterial small subunit ribosomal RNA
Source: RNAcentral